RNAcentral lists this non-coding RNA (153 nucleotides) under Fragilariopsis kerguelensis. Lineage: Eukaryota; Bacillariophyta; Bacillariophyceae; Bacillariales; Bacillariaceae. The record is from RNAcentral.
CAGAACAUGCUCCAUUUAGACAUCGACCUAAAAAGAUCGAAAUUGGCGCUCAGAAGAAAAACAAGAAACCAAAACUUGAAAAGUAGACCACGAAAAAGAAAAGAUAUCUUUUUUGCCUAUUUCUUUUUCUUAUUUACAUUUACAUAACUAUCU